AACGCGAAGAACCUUACCUGGGCUCGAAGCGCAGUGGACCGGGGUGGAAACAUCCCUUUCUCGCAAGAGACUGCUGCGGAGGUGCUGCAUGGCUGUCGUCAGCUCGUGUCGUGAGAUGUUGGGUUAAGUCCCGCAACGAGCGCAACCCUUAUCCCUAGUUGCUAACAGGUUAAGCUGAGCACUCUAGUGAAACCGCCCCGGAUAACGGGGAGGAAGGUGGGGAUGACGUCAAGUCCUCAUGGCCUUUAUGUCCAGGGCUACACACGUGCUACAAUGGUCGGUACAAACCGUCGCAAACCCGCGAGGGGGAGCUAAUCGGAAAAAGCUGACCCCAGUUCGGAUUGUAGUCUGCAACUCGACUACAUGAAGCUGGAAUCGCUAGUAAUCGCGGAUCAGCACGCCGCGGUGAAUACGUUCCCGGGCCUUGUACACACCGACGCGUA
RNAcentral lists this ribosomal RNA (443 nucleotides) under uncultured bacterium. RNAcentral describes it as "bacterial SSU rRNA". It matches the Rfam family "Bacterial small subunit ribosomal RNA", at positions 958 to 1399 of the family's 1533-position model. The record is from RNAcentral.